This 454-nucleotide ribosomal RNA is filed under the name Bacillus swezeyi. Its description in RNAcentral is "bacterial SSU rRNA". It matches the Rfam family "Bacterial small subunit ribosomal RNA", at positions 50 to 487 of the family's 1533-position model. Lineage: Bacteria; Bacillati; Bacillota; Bacilli; Caryophanales; Bacillaceae. The record is from RNAcentral.
UAUACAUGCAGUCGAGCGGACCGACGGGAGCUUGCUCCCUUAGGUCAGCGGCGGACGGGUGAGUAACACGUGGGUAACCUGCCUGUAAGACUGGGAUAACUCCGGGAAACCGGGGCUAAUACCGGAUGCUUGAUUGAACCGCAUGGUUCAAUCAUAAAAGGCGGCUUCGGCUGCCGUUUACAGAUGGACCCGCGGCGCAUUAGCUAGUUGGUGAGGUAACGGCUCACCAAGGCGACGAUGCGUAGCCGACCUGAGAGGGUGAUCGGCCACACUGGGACUGAGACACGGCCCAGACUCCUACGGGAGGCAGCAGUAGGGAAUCUUCCGCAAUGGACGAAAGUCUGACGGAGCAACGCCGCGUGAGUGAUGAAGGUUUUCGGAUCGUAAAGCUCUGUUGUUAGGGAAGAACAAGUACCGUUCGAAUAGGGCGGUACCUUGACGGUACCUAACCAGA